AUUGAACGCUGGCGGCAUGCCUAACACAUGCAAGUCGAACGGUAACAGGCCCGCAAGGGUGCUGACGAGUGGCAGACGGGUGAGUAAUACGUUGGAAUCUGCCCUGUAGUGGGGGAUAGCCCGGCGAAAGCCGGAUUAAUACCGCAUACGCUCUACGGAGGAAAGCGGGGGAUCGCAAGACCUCGCGCUAUUGGAUGAGCCUACGUCUGAUUAGCUAGUUGGUAGGGUAACGGCCUACCAAGGCGACGAUCAGUAGCUGGUCUGAGAGGAUGAUCAGCCACACCGGAACUGAGACACGGUCCGGACUCCUACGGGAGGCAGCAGUGGGGAAUAUUGGACAAUGGGGGAAACCCUGACCCAGCAAUGCCGCGUGUGUGAAGAAGGCCUGCGGGUUGUAAAGCACUUUUGUUGGGGAAGAAAAGCCGUCGGCGAAUAUCCGGCGGUCUUGACGGUACCCAAAGAAUAAGCACCGGCCAACUCCGUGCCAGCAGCCGCGGUAAUACGGAGGGUG
This 511-nucleotide ribosomal RNA is filed under the name uncultured bacterium. RNAcentral describes it as "bacterial SSU rRNA". It matches the Rfam family "Bacterial small subunit ribosomal RNA", at positions 29 to 534 of the family's 1533-position model. The record is from RNAcentral.